AACGAACGCUGGCGGCGCGUCUUACGCAUGCAAGUCGAACGGCAAGAGAGGAGCUUGCUUCUCUCCUAGAGUGGCGGACUGGUGAGGAACACGUGGGUAAUCUACCCUUAAGAUGGGGAUAGCUGCUAGAAAUAGCAGGUAAUACCGAAUACACUCGGCAUAUCCCAAGAGGUGUUGAGGAAAGGAAGCUACGGCUUCGCUUGAGGAUGAGCUUGCGUCCCAUUAGCUAGUUGGUGAGGUAAAGGCCCACCAAGGCGACGAUGGGUAUCCGGCCUGAGAGGGUGAACGGACACAUUGGGACUGAGAUACGGCCCAAACUCCUACGGGAGGCAGCAGCUAAGAAUAUUCCGCAAUGGACGGAAGUCUGACGGAGCGACGCCGCGUGGAUGAAGAAGGCUGAAAAGUUGUAAAAUCCUUUUGUUGAUGAAGAAUAAGGGUGAGAGGGAAUGCUCAUCUGAUGACGGUAAUCGACGAAUAAGCCCCGGCUAAUUACGUG
Molecule: ribosomal RNA, 496 nt
Filed under: uncultured bacterium
Lineage: Bacteria
Description: partial 16S ribosomal RNA
Rfam family: Bacterial small subunit ribosomal RNA
Source: RNAcentral